CCUCCAUCCAGCAUUAACAAGAAACAAGUUUUCACAAGAGGAGGGGUGCACACACAGUGUGAGCACACACUACCAACCAUACCUUCAAACAGCUAAAGUGUUUGUGAAGUAAGAAGUAUCCAGGGAAAUAAAAACAUGACAGAGAAGAAUUAAAACAAGAGGAAGAGCUGCAGCAAGAGCCACCCAUGUAGCAGGUCACACUGACACUCAAGACAUUCAACACAGGAACAAAGGUAACUGCUCUCUGUUAUCAUGUGCAAUGGCAACAGCAGUAAAUAGAGUAUCCAAGGGCUUUCUGACUUAAUCACAGGCUUGCAUCUUAGAAUCAGUAGCCACUGCUGUAGAGAAAGGGAAAUAAAAUGCCUUAACUCAAA
This is a long non-coding RNA of Pezoporus flaviventris, 374 nucleotides long. RefSeq lists it as uncharacterized. The transcript is spliced from 2 exons. The record is from RefSeq and is a predicted model, not a curated record. Lineage: Eukaryota; Metazoa; Chordata; Aves; Psittaciformes; Psittacidae.